This 548-nucleotide ribosomal RNA is filed under the name uncultured bacterium. RNAcentral's name for it is "bacterial SSU rRNA". It matches the Rfam family "Bacterial small subunit ribosomal RNA", at positions 356 to 896 of the family's 1533-position model. The record is from RNAcentral.
GGGGAAUUUUGGACAAUGGGCGCAAGCCUGAUCCAGCCAUGCCGCGUGUCUGAAGAAGGCCUUCGGGUUGUAAAGGACUUUUGUCAGGGAAGAAAAGGAUAGGGUUAAUACCCCUGUCUGAUGACGGUACCUGAAGAAUAAGCACCGGCUAACUACGUGCCAGCAGCCGCGGUAAUACGUAGGGUGCGAGCGUUAAUCGGAAUUACUGGGCGUAAAGCGGGCGCAGACGGUUACUUAAGCAGGAUGUGAAAUCCCCGGGCUCAACCUGGGAACUGCGUUCUGAACUGGGUAACUAGAGUGUGUCAGAGGGAGGUAGAAUUCCACGUGUAGCAGUGAAAUGCGUAGAGAUGUGGAGGAAUACCGAUGGCGAAGGCAGCCUCCUGGGAUAACACUGACGUUCAUGCCCGAAAGCGUGGGUAGCAAACAGGAUUAGAUACCCUGGUAGUCCACGCCCUAAACGAUGUCGAUUAGCUGUUGGGCAGCUUGACUGCUUAGUAGCGAAGCUAACGCGUGAAAUCGACCGCCUGGGGAGUACGGUCGCAAGAUUA